Drosophila yakuba is the source of this 5733-nucleotide long non-coding RNA. RefSeq lists it as uncharacterized. The record is from RefSeq and is a predicted model, not a curated record. The transcript is spliced from 2 exons. Lineage: Eukaryota; Metazoa; Arthropoda; Insecta; Diptera; Drosophilidae.
GCCAGAGCGAGAGGACGGGAGCGAGCGAGAGUUGAGCGUCGAGCUCUCUCGCUCUCUCCUGUUUGGGGGCACGUUAUAAAAUUGCCAAGUAGGCAAAGGGAGCGAGGGAGAAGGGCAAGGUAGGCAGCGGCAGCGGCAGAGGGAAAAGGAGCUCAAAGGAAAAAGGAGAACUGCAGCGGUAAUAAUCGUGCCAAAGCGAAAUAACGGGAAAUACACACACACACUUUCAAGAACACAGACAGUUUAUUAGAUGUGAUUAAACAUGACUGGACACAUCCAACAAGGGAAUAUAACAUUCAAAUGUCCACUUAUGAAGAAGUACAUAAAAUAUUACUUAAAACUAACUGUUCUCCGCGGCAAAGAGCAAUUGAGAUACACAAAUGUCUACGUGACUAGAGGCUCCCCUUUUCACGUCCCUUUGUGUUUUCCAGUUUCCAUUUUUUUUUUACUUUUCGCCAGAUUCAGGCAAAAAAACAGACGUGGGGAAAUGAGACAGAGCAAUCACCCCCAGGCUAUGCGAAACCAGCCAUUUACCGUUAGGCGGAGGGAUCAGUUUUUCGAGAUUCAGCUAUACAGACACACUCAAACACAUGGCCCAUAUGGAAGAAAGGUGCAAGGCAUGCGCACAAAAUACACAUAAAGAAAAACUAUUAAGGAUAAUGAUGAUCAUUUCAAUUUGAUUAGCCAACGAUUUCGUGUCAUAAAUUUACAUUGCCUGUUAAACAAUCAUCAGAAUACAUUAACUGAAGCUUUCAUUUUGUAGGAACUCAUUUGUGUGCAGUGAAUGUACAUAUAUGUAAGUGAAAAUAUCAUUUGACCUGCUUUUUCUCAGCAUGAAUCAUAGCAGAGAAACGGUGAAAAACGACACCCAGCCAUACCCCAAUGAUGAUGCAUUCGAGGGGUUUUCCACAGGCACAAACACCAGUACGCAAAGAAAUACAUAAGUCGGACACAAACACAAAGAGAAGUAGGUAAAAACUGCAGGGAGGCGAAAAAGGAUCUCUCUCGCUCUCCCGCUUCCUCUCCCUUUUUGGAAACGAAUGACGCGCGCUCUUUGCACAUUGCAAGGUUUUAUUUUUGCGCAGAUGGUGGAGGAUUAUGAAUUGGGAUCCUGUGACCAAACAGAGCGAGAGCGAGCUAUGUAGCCAGUGAGUUUGUGUGCGUGUGCGGAAAAGUACAGUUGGGCCAAAAGGCACCUCACACUUCUUUGGGGUUCGGUUUUCCCACGAGAGAACCCACAACUGAUGUACUAAAUGGGGGAUGGAGUAAUGAGGACUUGGUGAUUGGAGACAAAGACAAGAAAGAGACUGUGCUGAGGUCUACUAUCAAACGAUGUCCAAAACUGUGUUUUGCGGAGCAUUGUUAGCGAAAAUCUCAACUGGGUUUUCAUCUGGCAACUGCAUUUGAAAAUGUCUGGCAAAAAUAAGUCCAAGACACUGUGUAAACUGCUGUUGCAAAUCGGUAAUGUGUUGCAGGAGAACUUAAGAUCAUGGUUUACAAUGCUUAAAAAUAUUCUUAAAUAAAGUUGAUUCUGAAAACCAUAAUGCUGUGUUAAGAUCUACUAUCAAACUACGUUCAAAUUUAUAUUUACGAAACGUUGUUAGCGAAAAACUCAACUGGAUUUUGGUUUAGCAACCGCCAGAUUGUUUGGAGAAUAUGUAAUGCAUUUCCACACUUUUUAUGGGCGAGUUGCUGACAUACAUAUAAUAGUUUGAAUCCCUUACAUAGGACAUGUACAAUCUUGUGAUGAGAUCUACUAUCAAACUACGUUCAAAAUGUUAAUUUAAGAAACGUUGUUAGCGAAAAACUCAUCUAAAUUUUGUUUUAGCAACUGCUGGAUCGCAAGAAAAAUGAAUAGUUCAUUUCACACUUUUUAUAAGCUAGUUGCUUUGAAUGACACAAUCUAUGCUUAAUAUUUCCUUGUGCUGAGAUCUACUAUCAAACUACGUUCAAAAUUUUCAUUUACGAAACGUUGUUAGCGAAAAACUCAACUUUUGUUUUAAUCUCGCAACCGCUGUAGUACGAAAAACUGAUGGUAUAUUUUCCGCAAUUUGAUUGGGUUGCUCUUACUAUCGGCGAUCAAUGAUCAAUGUCAGAUGUCAGAUUAUUGUAGUUUUUAGCAUGGAGCGUGAGUGGUUAAAAAAGCGUAUGUAGAUCGGUUUACGAUGAAUAAAGAUAGGAAUUGGAAUUGGAAUUGCUACCAUUUCCAUCCUUUUGUCAUAAACUUGUGUUAGAAUUCAGCCAUUGGGCUUGGCCCAGCUAGGCUUAAUUAAUACUGUCUUCAAUGCCGACAAACUUUUCGAGUGCCAGAUGGAAAUGAAAAUGGGAUGCGGCGAUGUCGGUGGGAGGGGGGUAGCGGGAUAAUAACAAUAUAAAGGAUGUCGGGCGAUGUCGGUCCCCUUUUUCUAAGCACGCGCCAGACGGCAAAAGGUGAGCCCCGGGAGAACCGAAGCGGACCGGUUUGCUUUGCGGGAAGGUAGGAGGAUGAGGGAGAGGGUCCUGUAGGCCGGCCGGUCCGGGUUUUUUGGGGUUGCAAUCAACCCCUAAACUAAGCCGAUCCCCCCUCUCCACUCUGUGUGCGAUAUGCGCUUGUGUUUGCAGCAGUCUCCCUCCAUUUUGUCGUCCUGCCGGCAGAUGUUGGAUCACAACUGUCGUCCCCCGUCCCUUUAUUCGUUUGGGCUCAGCACAGGAAGUGCCGCCAAAGUCUGGAGCCCUCUGCUUCAGAGUAAUGAAAAUUCUUGGCCAGCGACAGGGAGAUGGAGAGAGCUCUGAACUUGGGAAGAAUCAUAAUGGGGCUGCUUUCAAGACAUUUGUUCUGAGUAGUACAGCAGUACAUGUAUGCGUGUGUGUAUGUGUCUGUCUGUUCUGCUGUGCAAAAGUCAAAAGAAAAACCGGUUCGGCAGAAUGUACAAGAACUGUGCCAUUUCGAAAAACAAAACGGAGGAGCGGGUGGUCGCCCCGUUCUCGGCUGGCAGGCUGGCAAGUCGAGUUUUGUGUGUUGGUUUAGAGAUCCGAGAUCCGAUACAAUCGUCGAUUGGCAGAAAAACCAGUUUAAAACUCAUUUUAUUUCAUUUCACAUCGCUGCCAGAAAAAUUGCCAACUCACACACCACACACACACUGGGCCGCCAGAAAAACAAAUUUAAAAUGGAAAUAACUUGAGAAUAAGGAGGAGGGGGAGAAAAAGUAAGAGAGAGAGAGAGAGAGAGAGAGAGAGAGAGAGCGAUGGCGACGGGAAAAAGAGUGUAUGUGGAGGCCAAGAACAAAUAUAAAACUUCCCCCACAAGAUUUGCAUAAAGUGGAAUCUUUUUCUGCUCGAACGCAUACACACACGCACAUGUGUGCGUUUGUGAGACAUCAAAUUUCGUAUAUUUACGACGUAAAAAUAAACUCGACGACGACUCGGCGUCUCUCGCUCUGACUUUCAAUAAUUUAAUUUCUGGCAGCUGAAAAUGUUGCUGAAUAGCAACGCAGAAACAUCAACCAACACACACUCAACAUUGAAACUCUGGCGGUUCGAAGCCCAAAAAACGCAAAACUGGGGGGAAAACACCUCUGAAAACCCCACGUAGGCCGACGCUCGUCCGUCCGUCGUUCAUUUUAUUUUUAUAUAUUUUUAACCCUUUCUGCCCGUUGCCUUUCCGUUUUCCUCGCUCUCCACAUGUAUCAGAAAACAGGCUGCAAGCGAAGAUUGAGAAAACAUCGGAUCGUGCGGAUAACCACCAAAAAUAGCAAUAGUUAUUAUAAUUUCCUAGAAAGAAGCUGCGUUUUUCCGAGCUGAUGAAAUGCCAAGGAAUCGAACCAUGUCUGCUUCUUAAAUAAUUUCAUUUGUAUUACUAUUAGAUGCUGUGAUCAAGGGUUAUCCAUACUUAAAAACGACGAAUUGCAUCUGAGAGUUUAAAUGUGUUGAAAGAGCGUUUUCCAUUUCCACGCUUUUUUUUUAACCGCUUCGCUGGGUUCUGUUCUGUUCAGCCGCAGAAUAUGUCGUUUUGCCAUUAAAGCAGCGGAUAAAAACAACGAAAGCAAAAACGUCAACCACAAAACUUGUUUUCUCGAAAAGCUAUUUAAAGUGAAUGUUAAGGGCUUGUUAUGCGCAAAUGUAUCUGUAAAUGUAUCUGCGAGAUUGUACAUUCGUGUGGGAGCGGAGGAAGUCGGUGCUUUGGGUUUUGGUGAGGCUAUCUAUAUCUAUCAUGGGCAACAAUGUAGAUCUGCUCCGCUGUUGAUGUCGUUUAUGCUUUUUUUUUCUAGAUUUUUGGGCACGCUGCUUUUGUUGGUUUUUAUGUGGGUUUGGUUGAAGGGCAUUACAACGACUGACAGUUAUAGAAGUAAACGAUGAAAAACAGAUUGAUUGUUCAACAGUGCCGUAUAACUAGAAAGGGGAUCUUUUAAAAGACUGCUUACUGAAUAGUUAUGUUACAAACUUAAUACAUUAAUUUAUUCAGCUUCAAUAAACCUAAGACACUAAACUAUCACAAGUAAAUCCAACUAUAUAUUAUAUGAAAUCUAGUUUGUAAAAUCACAAAUUAAGUGAUUUAAUUUCUUGUUAUAAACGGCUUGAUUCCAUACUUAGAAGUAUUAAAAAUGAAACCGACUAUAUGAAAAACUUCCUCUAAAAAUGCCAUAUUAGUUUUACAAUUAGGUUUACCCACCCAAAACUUGUUAAAUUCACAGACCAAUUCAAGUGAAAGUGAAAAAAGUGAGCCACCGAAAAUAAUCAACAAUAAACCGCGAAAUAACGCAUAAAAGUUCAAUGAACUUUUUUGUUAAUAGCCACAAAGCGAAUAAGUAAUCAAAACUAACAAAAAUAAAAGUCGGCCAAAGAGCAGGCUGCGAAAACGGCCGCUCAUUAUUUCCCUGUCUUCUUUUUAUUUAUUUAUUUUUUUCUAUAUUUUUUCUGUUUAUUGUAGGACAAGAACAUUAAAAAAGUGCGACACAUAUUUUAUUUUUUUGCACGUGCGUGUGUAGGUCAGUGCGUGUUCGCUGCAAGGUCACGGUGUUUUAGAACGGAAAAAAUUGAUGACUUGGAAGAAAUGUACAAGUUUAUUGUAAACAAAGAAUUAAGGCAAGAAACCAAAGAGAAAAAUACAGUUUCUGCUUUUCUACACUUGUUGCCCAAAAGCUUUUUUAUAUCUCAUUUAUUAUUGUUAUUAUUCUGCACAUGUGCGUAGAAUGUAAACAAAUGAAACUUUUGCAAAUGUCGCAAGUGAAAUUUGGCAACGCCGCCGCAGUCCUAUAAAAAAAAGAUUAGGCGACACGAAAAUAUGAAAGAUGAAAAUGUGUAAACGUGUCGAAAAGAAAACAACAAAAGCGGCGUAGCAGAAGUGUAGCACAAAGUGGAAACAAAAAUAUGUGGCGACUGCUCUCUCUUCCCUUCCCACUCACCCACCGACAUCUCUUUUUGAGCCGUCUGGCUCUCCCAAUUUUCUAAGUGUGUGUGAAAAGUGCAGAGAGAAAAUUUCACGCUGGUUGUUUUUGUUUUUCGAGAACAAACAUAAAAACGGACGAGGGAGUAUAACAAAAUGAGCGGGAGAAAGAAAAGUGGACCCAAAAGAGCGAGAGAGCCUAGCAUUGAACAAAAUAUUUUAUGUGUGGGGGAAAAACCAAGAUGGCGGCCACCAAGACUUUGGGAAUCUAUCGAAAUGAAAAACGUGCUUUUUUCUAGGAGUUUAGAAUAGAAAGCAAUUAACUUAACUCGCUCUUGGCAAUCUUUCUAUUCACUAAUCACAAGUUUUAA